UUGUUCUCUUCUAAAUAGGCUUUAAGUAGAAGAGGGUAUACUCGAACAAUUGAUGAUAUGAUUAAACAAAAUGAAGGUAUAAAAAUAACUAGGGUCCAUAUAUUUCAAAAAGCCCAUACUAAAAAGAAUGGUUAGCCAAUCAACUCAAUAGCUUCUGAAAAAUUGGGACAACUAGAUGACAUUAUACGUGAAAAUCCAAAUUCUCAAACUACAAAUAAUAUUGACGAGGAUGCACUAACAAUGUUGUUUGGUAUACCAAAAUCUGGUCGUCACAUUGGCCAAGGAAGAGGGAUAUCAAAAUCAAAAGUAGCUGUUGUUAACAUGUUCCAAGAUAAAAUUGAAGCUUAUAAUAAAGAACUAGGUAGCAUGAAGAAGCAAAUUGCUGAGUUAUUCAAGUUGUUAAAGCCUUGAAGCUCUUCUUGCAAUCAUCUUGACAAUAAUGUAGUCCAUAGAAAGAAUAGUAAAUUUUCUAAUGUGAAUAAUGCUUGCAACUUACUUUACUGGAAGGAUGAAAUAGUUGCUGGGUCAUUGGUGUUCUAGCGAUCCGAACAUAGAAGUUCAUGGGAUUACUCUUGGAUCUGAAUUCAUGCAAGUGUGGGUUGACAAAGACAAAGUUAUCUCACCAAGUGCCUAUUUUUUUCGUCCUAGCCACCCGAUGAUUACUAUACAAGAAGCUGUCGGCUCUUUUGUUGUAUGUCCAUCAGAGAAGGUUGUUCCAAGAUGUUAAGGUAUAAUACCUACAAUUCAAUAAAUCAUCUCAUCACAGAUAAUUAACCAGUUGGCAAAUCAUGGAAUGAGUUUGAUCUUGUUAGUGGCUAACAAAUCGUUGAGCUCUUCGUCUUAUUGAUUCUCUUUUGCCUAACGACGCCAGUGAAAUCAGCCGCCAUUAAGUUUUUCUUCUUGAAUUAUUCGCUUACAUACACUUUCUUUUUAAGUCUUCUGUUUCUAUUGGUACCCCAUACCAUUAGUGUUUUUAACUUCAUGUUAAUUUUAUUUAAUUGUUAGAUGACUUUUGGUACUUGAUGAUACAACUUUAAUGGAAUUAACUAAGGUUGGGGAUGCU
Molecule: long non-coding RNA, 1063 nt
Organism: Cannabis sativa
Lineage: Eukaryota; Viridiplantae; Streptophyta; Magnoliopsida; Rosales; Cannabaceae
Exons: 5
Source: RefSeq, a predicted model, not a curated record